UUACUUAUUGACAGGGUUAGAAGGUGUGCAGUUCUUUACUUUAUGGAGUAUCAAGUUUUUGCAAGUGCGCAUGACAGUAGAUAUAUUACCAUCCAAGAAAUUCAUUUGUAUAGCUUUUAAUAGUGUAUCAUGUAUUCGUGUUCAUGCCUAAACAAUUGGGCUGCAAACCCGCAUGGGCAUUAAUUUUAUUUAUAUAUAUUCUUAUCCUUUUCACAAAAGAUAUAGAUGCAGUUCUUUUGAUUGCUCUGAAAAACAUAUAAUUCCUGCAAAGAACUAUGCUGGAAAAAUGUAAACAUUAAGCCUAGUACUUUUAUCAGAUUCACUUGCGAAGCCCAUUCUUCAUAGCAGGCAUGAACUCUAUCUUUCUGUAAGAUAUAAACAACACCGGAUAAUACUAACACACACAUAGCAUUUGAUUGGUGAUAAACAGAGAGUUCUGACUGGCAGAUGCCACACUGGAACAGGAAAGUGGAAAAUCAAAAUCAUGUUGACGUUAUAUUUUACUGUGAAGUACUUCAGAACAACAAAGUAAACAAAGGGGAGCAGAUUCGCACCUUUUGUUGGCCAAAAGGGGAGCAUAUGCCCUAAGCUUUCAUUCCUUCCUGCAUUCCUCUCUUCCCAUAUAUACUGCAACCUUUGCAAUCUGCAAAUAAGAAGGCAGAUAGGUCUCCUCAACACAGCCAAAUUUACUCUUAAGCCUUAACAUGUUUCUACACUACCUGCAAGAUCGCAGUAUCCAGAGCGCUGCAAGAGCUAUGAAAUUAUUUCCCCAAUCUGAAAUGCCAUUCCAGUAAAUCAACAGCACGGUAGAUCAACGCGAUGAAGUCUUGGUUCUUCCUCAAAUCCAACGAUAAAACGCAGGCCAAUCCAAGGCCGUGCACCGAAGAACGGAUUCCGGACGAGUCAGUAGCAGCGAAUCGGAGGGCACAACCGAGGCAAUCAGGAAUUGGGGGAGAUAGUAACUUGCUGCGCAGAAACGAACAGCGGGGUUCUCACCUCGCGUCGGGGCCUCGAGGGAGAGAAGAUCACCUCGUCGGAGAAGAAGCUUCCGACCUGGGCUGUAGCGGCGGAGUAGCUCACCGUCGCCGGAGCUCCGGUGCCCUGGGCCCGGAGAGCAAAAGCCUUGA
RNAcentral lists this long non-coding RNA (1127 nucleotides) under Oryza sativa (Asian cultivated rice). Its description in RNAcentral is "long non-coding RNA (OSAT_LNC001838)". Lineage: Eukaryota; Viridiplantae; Streptophyta; Magnoliopsida; Poales; Poaceae. The record is from RNAcentral.